RNAcentral lists this ribosomal RNA (953 nucleotides) under uncultured Ascomycota. RNAcentral describes it as "eukaryotic LSU rRNA". It matches the Rfam family "Eukaryotic large subunit ribosomal RNA", at positions 1 to 972 of the family's 3401-position model. Lineage: Eukaryota; Fungi; Ascomycota. The record is from RNAcentral.
AGGUUGACCUCGGAUCAGGUAGGGAUACCCGCUGAACUUAAGCAUAUCAAUAAGCGGAGGAAAAGAAACCAACAGGGAUUGCUCUAGUAACGGCGAGUGAAGCAGCAAUAGCUCAAAUUUGAAAUCUGGCGUCUUCGACGUCCGAGUUGUAAUUUGUAGAGGAUGCUUCUGAGUAACCACCGACCUAAGUUCCUUGGAACAGGACGUCAUAGAGGGUGAGAAUCCCGUAUGCGGUCGGAAAGGUGCUCUAUACGUAGCUCCUUCGACGAGUCGAGUUGUUUGGGAAUGCAGCUCUGAAUGGGAGGUAAAUUUCUUCUAAAGCUAAAUAUCGGCCAGAGACCGAUAGCGCACAAGUAGAGUGAUCGAAAGAUGAAAAGCACUUUGGAAAGAGAGUUAAAAAGCACGUGAAAUUGUUAAAAGGGAAGGGAUUGCAACCAGACUUGCUCGCGGUGUUCCGCCGGUCUUCUGACCGGUCUACUCGCCGCGUUGCAGGCCAGCAUCGUCUGGUGCCGCUGGAUAAGACUUGAGGAAUGUAGCUCCCUCGGGAGUGUUAUAGCCUCUUGUGAUGCAGCGAGCGCCGGGCGAGGUCCGCGCUUCGGCUAGGAUGCUGGCGCAAUGGUCGUAAUCCGCCCGUCUUGAAACACGGACCAAGGAGUCUAACAUCUAUGCGAGUGUUCGGGUGUCAAACCCCUACGCGUAAUGAAAGUGAACGGAGGUGAGAACCGCAAGGUGCAUCAUCGACCGAUCCUGAUGUCUUCGGAUGGAUUUGAGUAAGAGCAUAGCUGUUGGGACCCGAAAGAUGGUGAACUAUGCCUGAAUAGGGUGAAGCCAGAGGAAACUCUGGUGGAGGCUCGCAGCGGUUCUGACGUGCAAAUCGAUCGUCAAUUUUGGGUAUAGGGGCGAAAAGACUUAAUCGAAACCAUCUAGUAGCUGGGUUCCUGCCGAAAUUUUCC